This 288-nucleotide long non-coding RNA is filed under the name Panax ginseng (ginseng). RNAcentral's name for it is "long non-coding RNA (PGIN_LNC007367)". The record is from RNAcentral. Lineage: Eukaryota; Viridiplantae; Streptophyta; Magnoliopsida; Apiales; Araliaceae.
CACAUCUAUAAAUAAGAGGAGUCUUAUUAUGGGUGUUGGAGUUUUGUUGACUUUUUCACAAUAUACGCAAUUCCAAUAGUUGGGAGAGUACGUUCUUUUUCUAUAGAGAUAGAAAACUAGGGUUUAGCCAAACACCCAUCUUCUUGAAUCUUUCUUCUUCCUUGGUGGAUCACCUCUAGAGGCCAAACACUUGGGUGGCUAACGUUGAUCAAAGGAAGGAACCAAACCCGGUGGAUUCAAGUUGAACACGAAAAGAAUUUGGAGGUGAACUAGUACCUGAGGAAGCUC